CCUACGGGUGGCAGCAGUGGGGAAUAUUGGACAAUGGGGGGAACCCUGAUCCAGCCAUGCCGCGUGUGUGAAGAAGGCCCUCGGGUUGUAAAGCACUUUCAGUGAGGAAGAACGCCUGGUGGUUAAUAUCCAUCAGGAAAGACAUCACUCACAGAAGAAGCACCGGCUAACUCCGUGCCAGCAGCCGCGGUAAUACGGAGGGUGCGAGCGUUAAUCGGAAUUACUGGGCGUAAAGCGCGCGUAGGUGGCUUGAUAAGCCGGUUGUGAAAGCCCCGGGCUCAACCUGGGAACGGCAUCCGGAACUGUCAAGCUAGAGUGCAGGAGAGGAAGGUAGAAUUCCCGGUGUAGCGGUGAAAUGCGUAGAGAUCGGGAGGAAUACCAGUGGCGAAGGCGGCCUUCUGGACUGACACUGACACUGAGGUGCGAAAGCGUGGGUAGCAAACAGGAUUAGAUACCCCGGUAGUC
This 465-nucleotide ribosomal RNA is filed under the name Vreelandella stevensii. RNAcentral's name for it is "partial 16S ribosomal RNA". It matches the Rfam family "Bacterial small subunit ribosomal RNA", at positions 338 to 795 of the family's 1533-position model. Lineage: Bacteria; Pseudomonadati; Pseudomonadota; Gammaproteobacteria; Oceanospirillales; Halomonadaceae. The record is from RNAcentral.